GGGCUGGGGCUCAGUGGUAGAGCACUUGCCUAGCAUGUGUGAGGCCCUGGGUUCCAUCCUCAGCACCACA
This 70-nucleotide transfer RNA is filed under the name Marmota monax (woodchuck). RNAcentral's name for it is "tRNA.Ala". The record is from RNAcentral. Lineage: Eukaryota; Metazoa; Chordata; Mammalia; Rodentia; Sciuridae.